GAUGAACGCUGGCGGCGUGCCUAAUACAUGCAAGUCGAGCGAACAGACGAGGAGCUUGCUCCUCUGACGUUAGCGGCGGACGGGUGAGUAACACGUGGAUAACCUACCUAUAAGACUGGGAUAACUUCGGGAAACCGGAGCUAAUACCGGAUAAUAUAUUGAACCGCAUGGUUCAAUAGUGAAAGACGGUUUUGCUGUCACUUAUAGAUGGAUCCGCGCCGCAUUAGCUAGUUGGUAAGGUAACGGCUUACCAAGGCAACGAUGGGUAGCCGACCUGAGAGGGUGAUCGGCCACACUGGAACUGAGAAACGGUCCAGACUCCGACGGGAGGCAGCAGUAGGGAAUCUUCCGCAAUGGGCGAAAGCCUGACGGAGCAAAGCCGCGGGAGGGAUGAAGGUCUUCGGAUCGUAAAACUCUGUUAUUAGGGAAGAACAAAAGUGUAAGUAACUAUGCCCGUCUUGACGGUACCUAAUCAGAAAGCCACGGCUAACUACGUG
This 497-nucleotide ribosomal RNA is filed under the name uncultured bacterium. Its description in RNAcentral is "partial 16S ribosomal RNA". It matches the Rfam family "Bacterial small subunit ribosomal RNA", at positions 28 to 507 of the family's 1533-position model. The record is from RNAcentral.